RNAcentral lists this ribosomal RNA (105 nucleotides) under uncultured bacterium. Its description in RNAcentral is "partial 16S ribosomal RNA". It matches the Rfam family "Bacterial small subunit ribosomal RNA", at positions 1389 to 1500 of the family's 1533-position model. The record is from RNAcentral.
ACCGCCCGUCCAAGCCAUGGGAGCCGGGGGUGCUUGAAGUGCGUCGCCGCAAGGCGCGCCCUAGAGCAAAACCGGUGACUGGGGCGUAAGUCGUAACAAGGUACC